RNAcentral lists this long non-coding RNA (10464 nucleotides) under Citrus x clementina. RNAcentral's name for it is "Citrus clementina (C. clementina) long non-coding RNA (CCLE_LNC004013)". Lineage: Eukaryota; Viridiplantae; Streptophyta; Magnoliopsida; Sapindales; Rutaceae. The record is from RNAcentral.
UUAUAGUUACAUAAUCACUCCAUGAAAUUAAUGAAAAAUUAUGGAUCAUAAUUCCUUAUGAGAUAGUGGGAGUUAUAAGGAAGCUAAAGGUUGCUAAUGGGAGAGAGUGGGGAGAGUAAGAGAUAUAUAUUCUGAACAUCCACAUUCAUUUUAAUAAAUUCAUAACACUCCCCUUUGGAUGUUCAUUACAAAAAAUAUGUCUCAUUAAAAUCUUUACUAAAAAAAACCCUUAGGAAAAAAAUUAGUAAAAGAAAAAUAGUACAUUAUUCAUUGUCCUGAAUAAUUUUGGAGAUAUAGAGUUGCCUCAUUAAAACCUUACUAGGAAAAACCCUAUAGGAUAAAAACCUAGUGAGGAAAAAGAGUACAACAUAUAAAAUUUCCUCUAAAAUAAAAUAUUUUCCCCAGUAAGUGUACUCCCUCUCAUCUUGACAUAGAUUCUUUAAGAUUUGAAGAAAAAUCUUUGAGCUGAUGCAUCCUAAUUUUGUGUACCAACUUUUUGAAUGUUGCCGUUGGUAUGGAUUUUGUAAAUAAAUCUGCAAGAUUAUCACUUGAGCAUAUUUGCUGAAUAUCCAUAUCACAAUUCUUUUAAAGUUCAUGUGUAUAAAAGAAUUUGGGUGAAAUAUGCUUGGAUCUAUAACAUUUUGUAUAACCACCUUUAAUUUGGGCAAUGCAUGCUACAUUAUCCUCAUAUAUUAUUGUGGGGUUAUUUUUAAUUGAUGAAAAUCCACAUGUUUCUCGAAUAUGUUGUAUUAUUGAUCUUAACCAAAUGCACUCACUACUGGCUUCAUGAAUAGCAAAUAUUUUUGAAUGAUUUGAAGAUGUUGCAACCAUUGUUUGUUUCAUUGAUCACCAUGAUACAAUACUAUUACAAAAGAUAAAUAACGUUUGAGAUCGAGCUUUAUAUGGAUCAGAGAGAUAUCCAACAUCUGCAUAUCCAAUUAAUGGUGACUUUGAUCCAUUUGGAUUAAAUAAAUCCAUGUCAAUUGUUCCACGGAGAUAGCGAAAUACAUGCUUUACACCAUUCUAAUGCCUAUGAGUUGGUGUAGAAAUACAUUUUGCUAAUAAAUUAAUUGAAAAUGCAAUAUUAGGUCGAGUACAAUUUGCAAGAUACAUGAGUGCACCAAUUGCACUUAAAUAUGGUACUUUAGGACCAAGAAUUGCUUCACCAUCUUCUUUAGGACGAAAUGGAUAUUUUUCUACAUCAAGUGAUUGCACGACCAUUGGAGUGCUUAAUAGAUAGGCUUCAUCCAUAUAAAAAUGCUUCAAAACAUUUUUAAUGUAUGUGGACCGAUGUAAGAGUAUUCUAGUUGGCAAAUACUCAAUUUGUAAGCAAAGAUAGAUUUUGUUUUUUCAAAAUCUUUCAUUUCAAACUCAUUUUUCAAACAAGAAUACGUUUUUGAAAGCUCUUCAGGAAUUCCAAUAAGAUUUAAAUCAUCGACAUAUACUACAACUAUUGCUAAUCCAAUUUCAGAUUUUUUUAAUAAAAAUACAAGGACAAAUUGGAUUAUUUACAUAUCAUUCUUUCAAUAAAUAGCUGCUUAGGCGAUUGUACCACAUACACCCAUAUUAUUUUAAUCCAUACAAGGAUCGUUGCAGUUUCAAAGAAUAUAAACUACGAGGUUUUAAUUUGUUUGCUUUUGGCAUUUUAAAUCUUUCGGGAAUUUUUAUAUAAAUAUCUGCAUCAAUAGAACCAUAUAGAUAUGCAUUCACUAUUGGAGAAAAAUCAGGUUUUUAAAUUUUUAUAAAACCUUUUAAGGACCGCUCUCAUAUAAUAUAUAAGAAUUUGUAAUCUAGAAAUCUUACCUUGAAAAUCUGAUUUGGCUUUUUCCGUUGAAGCGAUUUAGGCUCCCAUAUCACGAUCCGUCACCACCACUCCUGUUAGAUCACAAUCCGUCACCACCACGUUUGUCAUAUCACGAACUGUCACCAAUGAUCUUCCAAGUUAUGACUCAGGUUUGAUUUGCACUUGACAUGUGGGCGUCUUUAUCACUACCAAAGCAACUAGCACGAGAAAAUUUUUCUCUCAACAAUAGAGAGAAAAAUCUUUUUCUCUGAUCUGUAUAAAGUGGUUGUUCUCUCUUUCUUUAGAGAAAAUAAACCUUUUUAUAUCUCCCUGUAGUGAAAACCCUAGACUCCAAAUAAUGAAAAAAAAAACUCACGUUACUUGCUUUUUCUAUAGGGGACCCACCUUGUAAAAUAACAUAAGGUCCCUUACACACAAGCUAACUAAAUGGAGCCUCCCACUAAAUGAUAUAUUUAGGCUUUUAACCCAAAUAACUAGUUAUUUUACUUAUUAAUCCAGUAGUGGUGCAGUCAAUUAAAUGAGCUAACCCGGGAAUCAUUUGGGAACAUAUAAUAGUGGCUACAAUAAUUGGGCAUGUAAUUAAACUAGCCCAAUUAUUUAAUUCCCAAUCUACUCCACUAAAAGAUUGGAACUGACUUUCAUAAUUGUGUGCUCGAAUAAUAAUUCGUCCCAAGCCACAUUGAUUUUUUUACUGCACAAUCUUUUGUACCACAUCAUUAAUUAAAUCGAUAUCUCAACUGUCCAAUCGAUUUAAUUACAUUUUAUUCCUUGAUACUUACUGGUUUUCUCUAAUAAUCAUUUUCAACAUACUAAAUAUAUUGACACACUCUGGCUAGAGAAUUCUAUGAUCAAGUGCCGAAAACCCAUCAAGAGAUGUGUUGUACAAAUUUUAUAUUGUUAAUCUAUAACUCCAAUACUCAUAAAUGCUCCCACCAAGAUACCGGGUAAUCUAGACUACAAGUAUGUGUCAUGCCCAUUGGUAACUCAAAUAGAAUAACAAUUACAAUCAUAAAAUCAUAAUUAACUCAAGAUUAAGAUUACAGUAAAACCAAUGCCAAUGAGAUUUAAUAAGUCUGACAGUUAUUACAAAGUUAAUUAAAUCUCAUAUGUGAUCCUGUUCAAUGUAGUCGUACUACAUCAAUAAAUUCAUACAUGAUUAAGACAAAUCAUUCAAUGAAUUUAUUACAGUCUAUACCUAAAUAAAGUGCCCAACUUUAUUUAUCAACUACGAACUAAAUUUAUUUAAUCAUAAGAUAACUUAUAUUUAUAUCUUCUGUGAAUCCACAUGGUGAUAACAUAAAUAUAUAUAAUAUAAUUAAAUGGAUUUUAAUAAAAAUAUUAAUGCAAUUAAGAUAUUUGAAUAAAAUACUUCAUUAAUUUUAUUAAUCAGAAAAAUGUUUAUUACAAUUAAAUAAACACAUAUGCUUUUAAAGAGCAUAUUUUCCUAACAAUCUCCCACUAGCUCUCAAAGCAUAUUUGGCAUCUCACACAUGCCCAUGGAUUCUAAGUGCAAGUUAAAAGGUUUCCCAGGUAUGGCCUUAGUAAAAGGAUCUGCCAGGUUUUGCUGUGACACAAUCUGAGUAAUCUCCACAUCACCUCUUUGCACUAUAUCCCUUAUAAGAUGAUACUUCCUCUUAAUAUGUUUUUGUUUCUUAUGGUUCCUUGGUUCCUUAGAUUGAGCUACCGCACCACUAUUAUCGCAAAAUAGUUUAAGGGGUGUAGUUACAGCAGGUACCACUUCAAGAUCUUGUAGGAACUUGCGGAGCCAUACAGCUUCUUUUGCAGCUUCAGAUACAGCCACAUAUUCAGCUUCAGUUGUGGAGUCUGCGAUACAAGAUUGUUUCACACUCCUCCAACUAAUAGCUCCACUUCCCAAUGUAAACACAUAGCCGGAAGUUGAUUUUCUGGAAUCCUUAUCUGACAUAAAGUCAGAAUCAGUAUAACCCACUGGAAUGAGUUCAUCACCAGAAUACACAAGCAUAUAAUUUUUAGUUCUUUUCAGAUACUUCAUUAUAUGCUUGACCGCAGUCCAGUGUUUAGGUCUAGGGUUAGAUUGAUAUCUACUAACCAUCCCUACCGCAAAACAGAUGUCUGGCCUAGUGCAAAGCAUGGCAUACAUGAGACUUCCCACAGCUUCUGCAUAGGGAACUCGUCUCAUUCUCUCUAUCUCUUCAGAUGUUUUAGGUGAUUGAUCCUUAGGGUAUGUAAUUCCAUGUCUGAAUGGUAAUAAACCAGUCUUGGAAUUUUCCACGCUAAAUCUAGCCAAUAUCUUAUCGAUAUAGACUGCUUGAGACAAGACUAAAGUUUUAUUCUUCUGGUCUCGUAGUAACUUGAUACCAAGAAUAUAACUUGCCUCUCCAAGGUCUUUCAUAUCAAAUUGUUUUGCUAACCAACUCUUUAUUGUAGUCAAUACUCCUAUAUCGUUUCAAAUUAGGAGAAUAUCAUCUACAUAAAGAAUUAGGAAGGCACAUAUUUUUCUUGAAUUUUCUUGGACACACAUGGUUCAUCAAUGUUCUGAAUGAAUCCAAACGAUUUAAUCGCUUGAUUAAAUAUGAUGUUCCAUGACCCAGAUGCUUGCUUCAAUCCAUAAAUGGAUCUCUGCAACUUACAUACUAUGUAUUUUUGUCAUUUUUGUAUAAAUCCAUCUGGUUGCUGCAUGUAGAUGUUUUCUUCAAGAUGCCUGUUAAGAAAGGUAAUCUUGACAUCCAUUUGCCAAAUUUCAUAAUCUAGCACUGCAGCAAUGGAGAGCAGAAUCCUGAUGGAUUUAAGCAUAGCAACCGGAGAAAAUGUUUCCUCAUAAUCGAUUCCCUCUUUCUGAGUAAACCCUUUGGCUACUAAUCUUGCUUUAAAUAUUUCUACCCUUCCGUCUACUCCUCUUUUUCUCUUGUUGAUCCAUUUGCACCCUAUAGGUUUUACCCCAUUUGGUGCCUCUAUAAGUUCCCAGACUUUAUUGGAAUACAUAGAUUCCAUUUCUUAAUUCAUGGCCUUUUUCCAAAAUUCAACUUCUUUAUCUAUUAGGGUUUCGUUGUAACUAGUGGGAUAUUGUACAUGUUCAUCUGAGAUAGCCGUAUAGGUUUCACCCAAAAGCAUGUAUCUUGCAGGUAACCUAGUUACCCUCCCACUAUAACGAGGUUCUAAAAGUGAUGGUUGUUCAGGGUUAAUCUUGUGUUGAUCAUCUGGUUGUUGUUGUUCUUCAUGUUCUCUAACAGGCAUUGAAAGUUGAGCAUCAACCUGAUCACUUGACAGUUCUUCAAGUAUUACCUUACUCUUAGGUUUGAAAUUAUUCAUAUAGUCUUCCUCGAGAGAAGUGAAAUGUGUGCUCACGAUUACUUUUCUAUCUUGAGAACUAUAAAAUAAACCUCCCCUUGUUCCUUUGGGAUACCCCACAAACAUACAAACCUCAGAACGUGAAUCCAUUUUGCUGCCUUUGGUUUUAGCACAUGUGCUGGUGAUCCCCAAAUACGGACAUGUCAUAAACUUGGUUUGCAACCUAACCAUAAUUCUAUUGGGGUUUUAGGCACUGACUUAGAUGGAACUAAGUUCAAGAGGUAAACUGCAGUUUUCAGUGCUAGUCCCCAAAAGAGAUUAGUAAUAACGAAUAACUAAGUAUAUAUCUCACCAUAUCCAAAAGAGUUCUAUUUCUUCUUUCAGUUACCCCAUUUUGUUGUGGUGUUCCCAGGGCAGUCAACUGAGAUAUAAUCUCAUUUUCAAUCAGAUACUCUUUGAAAUCUCCUGAGAGAAAUUCAUCACCUCGAUCAGAUCGAAGUUUCUUUAUGUUCUUAUCUAAUUAUUUUUCUGUCUCAGCCCUAUACUCUUUGAAUUUCUCAAGAGCUUCAGACUUGUGACGCAUUAUAUAAACAUAACCGUAUCUUGAGUAAUCAUCAGUGAAAGUGAUGAAAUACUCAUAACCUCCUCGAGCUUGUACAUUGAUUGGUCCACAUACAUCUGUAUGUACCAAUUCAAGUGGUACUGUUGCACGUACUCCUUUGGCCGAGAAUGGCCUUUUGGUCAUUUUCCCUUCUAAACAGGAUUCACAGAGUGGCAAUAAAUCAUUUUCUAAUGGACCCAAGAGCCCAUCUUUGAUCAUUCUCUUCAUCCUAUUUUGGUUUAUAUGACCCAAGCGUAAAUGCCAGAGGUAACAUUGGUUGGAAGAAAUAUUUCUUUUCUUAGAUAAAUGUGUAUGCUCAUCAUUAUUGAUUACUGUGUCAUUCAUAGAAUGGAUAAUUGGACUUAAAUGAUAUAAAUUAUCUUCCAAUGUACCAGAACAAAUAAGUCUCUUAUUAUGAAAAAUAAAAACAGAGGAUCCAAAAUUUACAGUGUACCCUUACUUUGACAAACAAGCUACUGAAAUUAAAUUCCUCUUAAUGUCUGGAACAUAAAGACAAUUAUUCAAAACUAAAGUCUCAUUAUUAAAAGAUAAUAAAACAGAUCCAGUCUUCACUACUGACACGAACUGUCCUGUCCCUAACUGCAGCUUGACGCUUCCUUCACUUAUUUUCCUGGUUUCCUAAAACCAAUAAAGUGAAUUACAAAUAUGAUUAGUUGCUCCUGAAUCCAACACCCAAGUGUCAAUAGGAUUCUGAACUAAACAGGCCUUAAUUACAAAAAGAUUUCUCAUACCUAAUUUCACAAUCUUAGGGCAAUCCUUUUUCCAGUGACCUUUCUGUCCACACUUAAAGCAUUUGCCUUUCGACUUGCCAUCUUGCUUGGUAGACGAUUUCUUUUUCCCAGCUUUCUUCUUACCUUUGCCUUUCGGCUUAGGCCCAGAAGAUGAACUUUUUACAGUAAUAUUUAUGCUUCCCAAAGAUUUCUCAGCAUGAUAGAUCUCUUCAGCAGAAUGAAGUCCGUUCAUCAAUUCAGUUAAGGUCAUGUUUCUUUUGUUCAUGUUAUAAUUGACCUUAAACUCCUUGAAUUUUUCUGGCAGAGAUUCUAGCACCAUGUCAAUCUUUGAGUUAUCAUCGAUUUGUGCUCCCUGAAUCUCAACCUCAUUCAAAUAGUCCAUCAUUUUGAGGACAUGAUCACGAACUCUUGUGCCCUUCCCCAUUUUACUGUUCAUAAUUCCUUUCAGCGCUGCUUGUCUCGCAGAGUGAGUACUCUGCCUGAACAUCUGUUGGAGACUAUCCAUUAUAUUAGUGGCAGUCUCCAAGUUCUGAUGUUUGGUCUGCAGAAUAUUAGAAAUCUAGGCUAAAAUGUAGCACUUUGCCAUUUCAUUGGCCUUUUGCCAUUUCUCAUAAAGUCUCCUCUGAUUUCUAUGAGCAUCAUCCGCUGGAACUGGAGGGCAUGGCUGGGUUAAGACAUAUUUAUAAUUUUCAGUAGUCAGGACAAUGAAUAGAUUUCUUUUCCAAUCUAUAUAGUUCUCUCCAGUGAGUUUGUUUUGACUUAGAAUAAUAGUAAGUGGGCUCAGGGAAAACAUUUUCUGAAAAAUAAAACAUCCAUGCAUAAAUAAUUUGAAAUAAUAUUCACAAUAAAUGACAAAAAUGUAUAAAACCAUAAAUGCAUUUUAAUUUAUUGUAACGAUAAUCUAGUUCCGCUUUGACAAGCUAUCCGAUGGGGAAGUCAUGUCUAUACUUACUAGACCCAAUUACCCAUUGGAUUAUUUACUUUCAUGUAGAGACAUGAUAAAUAAUUAUCGUUAUCCUUUUCGGGCCUAAAUUUGUUAACAAAGUUUCGUUGGGAAGGUUAAUAACAAAAUUUAGUUGAGUGUAUAAUCAUUGUUUCAAUCUACGUAUUUUUCAUAUCAAUAGUCACCGUUGGGGUGAACAAUCGAUUGAAAAAUAUUUCAAUUUUAUCUUUGAAGAAAUUCAUCAAAUAAAAUAUCUAAUAUAUAUACUCUCCGAAAGGAGCAUCACCGUAUCAUGAAGUCGAGGUAUAUAUAUAAUUUUAUUAUUGAACUAACAAUGGAGCCCGUGGGAAAAUUAUCUUGAAUUUUCCCUCUCCCACUCAAUAUUUUAAAAUUAGUUUUUCCUUUUAAAACAUACAUAUUAUUAGUUGCAUGCUUCCUAUAAUAUUAUCUAGAUGAUAUCCAAUAUUAUUAAGCAUACGUAAAUUUCAAAUAAUAUAAUGAAAUUCAUUAUUAAUGAAUGACAUGUAUCAUUAUGCAUAGAGUGGCACUAACUAUUCUAUAUGACAUGUUAUUAUGGCAUGUUAUCAUCCAAAACAUAACAUAUAGAAAAUAAAAAUAAUUAAAUAAUCUUAAUUCAUGACUUUCCUAAUAAUGAAAAAUACAUUAACCCUAAGCCUAAUCUUCAUUGGGCUUCUUGUCAAUGUCCAUCUUCCAUAAGUUUGUCUUUGUUAAUGGACUAGAGGAAAUUGAGCUUUUAAAUUUAUAAUUGGUCCAAUUUUAAUUUUGAAAGGAAAUAAAUAAAUAAUUAAAUUUUUUUUAUUAAAAUAAAACUUUUGGACCAAAAAUAAAUUUAAUGUAUUUAAUUUUAUCUAUGCAUUUUAAUCCAUUAAGCCCAAUUGAAAUUGGGCCUAAAACUAGGAUUCAUUAAGCCCAAAAUUAUUUUUGGACUUUAACACAAAAAAUUAAUAUGUUUCUGCCCAAAAGAAAAAUUACAGAACCAUAGGGACCUCAAUGAUAAAAAUCAUGAAACCCUAAAAUCCAUAUUUUUCGUUCUCCUUCUUCCCCAGCUUCCAUCUCCACAAAAGCCCAGCCGUUGUUCACUGUUUCCACACCGGACAACCGUCAUCAAUGCCAGAAAGACGCCAACCAAAACGCUCCGCCAGCUGCCUUCACGCGCGCGCCUCCAGCCCACAUUUGCGCUGCUGCUUGGCCGCUACAGCUGCUGCGUGUGCAAUGCCUGGCAGCGUGUGCUGCUGGGCUGCACGUGGAGCACGCGCUGCCGGCAACGUGUACUGCUAGCCGCGCGCUGCUACUCUGGUUUGUUGCCGCAGUUUCCAGCAAGUUUCCACAAUUUUCCAGUAAUUAAUUUACAAAUUUCCUAGGCCAAUCUUGGCUUACAAAAAUUCUAUAAGAGUAAAAUAAAUCAAGAGGGAAACAUGGUGAUGAAAAGCCAUCCCUCUUGUUACAGAUCCAAGGAAAAAAUACAGUGUAAAAUCUAACCAUAAAUUAAGACAAACCAUAACAUGCUUUAUUCAUGUAUUAAACAAAUAAUAUAUAUCUGAAUAAAAUGUGCCACUCUAAUACAUAAAUUUCAAGAUUAAUUUCAUACGAAAUUCUUAUAUAUUAAUAUGAGAUGGCUCUAAUACCAAUUGUUGGAGAAAAAUCAGGUUUUUAAAUUUUUAUAAAACCUUUUAAGGACCACUCUUAUAUCAUAUAUAGGAAUUUGUAAUCUAGAAAUCGUACCUUGAAGAUCUGAUUUGGCUUUUUCUGUUGAAGCGAUUUAGGCUCCCAGAUCACGAUCCGUCACCACCACUCCUGUUAGAUCACGAUCCGUCACCACCACGCUUGUCAUAUCACGAACUGUCACCAAUGAUCUUCCAACUUAUGACUCGGGUUUGAUCUGCACUUGACGUGUAGGUGUCUUUAUCACUACCAAAGCAACUAGCACGAGAAAAUUUUUCUCUCCAUAGUAGAGAGAAAAAUCUUUUUCUCUGAUCUGUAUAAAGUGGCUGCUCUCUCUUUCAUUAGAGAAAAUAAAUCUUUUUAUAUCUCCCUUUAGUGAAAACCCUAGGCUCCAAAUAAUGAAAAACAAAACUCACGUUACUUGCUUUUUCUAUAGGAGACCCACCUUGUAAAAUAACAUAAGGCCUCUUACCCACAAGCUAAUUAAAUGGAGCCUCCCAUUAAAUGAUAUAUUUAGGCUUUUGACCCAAAUAACUAGUUAUCUUACUUAUUAAUCAAGUAGUGGUGCAGUCAAUUACAUGAGCUAACCCGGGGAUCAUUUGGGAACAUACAAUAGUGGCUACAAUAAUUAGGCAAGUAAUUAAACUAGCCCAAUUAUUUAAUUCCAAAUCUACUCCACUAAAAGAUUGGAACUGACUUCCAUAAUUGUAUGCUCGAAUAAUAAUUCGUCCCAAGCCACAUUGAUUUCUUUACUGCACAAUCCUUUGUACCACAUCAUUAAUUAAAUCGAUAUCUCAACUGUCCAAUCGAUUUAAUUACAUCUUAUUCCUUGAUACUUACUGGUUUUCUCUAAUAAUCAUUUUCAACAUACUAAAUAUAUUGACACACUCUGGCCAGAGAAUUCUAUGAUCAAGUGCCGAAAACCCCUGGCCAGAGAAUUCUAUGAUCAAGUGCCAAAAACUCAUUAAGAGAUGUAUUGUACAAAUUCUAUAUUGUUAAUCUAUAACUCCAAUACUCAUAAAUGCUCCCACCAAGAUACCAGGUAAUCUAGACUACAAGUAUGUGUCAUGCCCAUUGGUAACUGAAAUGGAAUAACAAUUACAAUCAUGAAAUCAUAAUUAACUCAAGAUUAAGAUUAUAGUAAAACUAAUGCCAAUGAGAUUUAAUAAGUCUGACAGUUAUUACAAAGUUAAUUAAAUCUCAUAUGUGAUCCUGUUCAAUGUAGUCGUACUACAUUAAUAAAUUCAUACAUGAUUAAGACAAAUCAUUCAAUGAAUUUAUUACAGUCUAUACCUAAAUAAAGUGCCCAACUUUAUUUAUCAACUGCGAACUAAAUUUAUUUAAUCAUAAGAUAAAUUAUAUUUAUGUCUUCUUUGAAUCCACAUGGUAAUCACAUAAAUAUAUAUAAUAUGAU